This 465-nucleotide ribosomal RNA is filed under the name uncultured bacterium. RNAcentral's name for it is "partial 16S ribosomal RNA". It matches the Rfam family "Bacterial small subunit ribosomal RNA", at positions 28 to 507 of the family's 1533-position model. The record is from RNAcentral.
GACGAACGCUGGCGGCGUGCUUAACACAUGCAAGUCGAACGGAAAGUCCCUGCUUGCAGGGUCCUCGAGUGGCGAACGGGUGAGUAACACGUGGGGGAUCUGCCCUGCACUUCGGGAUAAGCCUUGGUAACUGGGUCUAAUACCGGAUAGGAGCCUUAUUUAGUGUGAUUGUUGGAAAGUUUUUUCGGUGUAGUAUGAGCUCGCGGCCUAUCAGCUUGUUGGUGGGGUAAUGGCCUAACAAGGCGGAGACGGGUAGCCGGCCUGGGAGGGUGGACGGCAACAGUGAGACUGGGACUGAGACAAGACUCCUACGGGAGGGAGAGGUAGGGGAUAGUAAUAUAUGGGCGCAGGCGUGAUGCAGAUCCACCGCGGGGGGGAUGACGAUCUUGGGGUUGUAAUUGUAUAGCGCUAGGGACGAAGAUUUUUAUGACGGUACCUAGAUAAGAAGCACCGGCUAACUACGUG